This 75-nucleotide transfer RNA is filed under the name bacterium ADurb.Bin363. RNAcentral describes it as "tRNA-Arg". It matches the Rfam family "tRNA". From Rfam's summary of the family: Transfer RNA (tRNA) molecules are approximately 80 nucleotides in length. Their secondary structure includes four short double-helical elements and three loops (D, anti-codon, and T loops). The record is from RNAcentral.
UCCGCCCAUAGCUCAGGGGAUAGAGCGACGGAUUCCUAAUCCGCAGGUCGGAGGUUCGAUUCCUCCUGGGCGGGU